UCAUCAAGAUUGAAUUUGAAAAGUUGGCAAUCUCUUCCUGAAAUAUUAUACCUGCGACUCUAAGAAGCAUGGAUGCCCGUGGCGAUCAUUGUUUACCCGAAAACAUCAAACAAAAUCAUACAAAAAAUACGAAUCGAAGAGAAAUCAUACUGUAUCCGAACAACCAAUAAAUUUAUUACAAAAUAAAAGAGAAAGAGGAGAUGUACAAGAAAGAGAGGGAGUUAUCGAAAAACAGCUGAUCAGAAAAAAAGGGCAAAAGCAAGAAGAGCGACAUCUACGCAACCAGUAUCGCUACCAGCAAUAACAAGUGGCAGAUGAAGGAGGGAUAGAAUAAUAAGAAGAAGAAAGUGAAUUAUUUGGUAAUAUACCAAUGCUAGACUAUACAAGAGUACCGUUAAGAUGCGCUGAAAAUGACGAUUCGAUUGAACGACUAGCACUUAAAUCGCAAACGAGCUGCGACGUUCAUAUUAAGGAAAGCCUAAGGAAAACAUUCCGGGAAAUGGAAUUGCAAAAUGAACAUGCUCUGCUGUUGAAAGAAAAUAAAAAUUUGAAAGCACAAAUAAAAUAUGUGAAAUAAAAGCUCUAAAGAGCCGAAAUGUCCAGAAAUCAAUUGCGUGAGAAGUUGAAGAGGUUAGAUGUCUUGAGGUGGAAACAUUUAUGUAAGGUCAAAAUACGCUUAAGUACGAAGAAGGAAAAGUUGAAAAAAGAUGGGCUAAGAGACAGAAAUUAAAAAAUAUACUGCAGCAAAACGAUCGCUAUGAAGUCAGCCCACGAAAUAAUCGUUUUCCGAAUUCCAUAGUUUCUGAAGAAUCGAUUUCUUCAAUGAUUCUAGGAGCAUUCAAAGAAUAACUCUUCUUUACAGCCGAGAAAGAUCCGCGGUCGAAAAGACAUGAAGAAGAAAAAGGCACGGAC
Long non-coding RNA from Bombus impatiens (common eastern bumble bee), 912 nucleotides. RefSeq lists it as uncharacterized. NCBI's taxonomy places the organism in Eukaryota, Metazoa, Arthropoda, Insecta, Hymenoptera, Apidae. The record is from RefSeq and is a predicted model, not a curated record. The transcript is spliced from 3 exons.